AGUUAGUGGCAGGCAGGCAGGCAGGCAGGCAGCAGGCAGCAGGCAGGCAGGCAGGCAGGCAGGCAGGCAGGCAGGCAGGCAGGCAGGCAGGCAGUGGUAUAUCUGAUAAUACAGGUAUGAUGACAGACAGUGGUAUAUCUGAUAAUACAGGAAUGACAGACAGACAGACAGACAGACAGACAGACAGACAGACAGACAGACAGACAGACAGACAGACAGUGGUAUAUCUGAUAAUACAGGUAUAAUGACAGACAGUGGUAUAUCUGAUAAUACAGGUAAAAUGACAGACAGACAGUGGUAUAUCUGAUAAUAAAGGUAUAAUGACAGACAGACAGUUAGUGUUAUAUCUGAUACUACAGGUAUAAUGACAGACAGUUAGUGGUAUAUCUGAUAAUACGGGUAUAAUGACAGACAGACAGACAGUGGUAUAUAUGAUAAUACAGGUAUAAUGACAGACAGACAGACAGUGGUAUAUCUGAUAAUACAGGUAUAAUGACAGACAGUUAGUGGUAUAUCUGAUAAUACAGGUAUAAUGACAGACAGACAGUUAGUGUUAUAUCUGAUACUACAGGUAUAAUGACAGACAGUUAGUGGUAUAUCUGAUAAUACGGGUAUAAUGACAAACAGACAGACAGUGGUAUAUAUGAUAAUACAGGUAUAAUGACAGACAGACAGACAGUGGUAUAUCUGAUAAUACAGCUAUAAUGACAGACAGACAGACAGACAGACAGACAGACAGACAGUGGUAUAUAUGAUAAUACAGGUAUAAUGACAGACAGACAGUGGUAUAUCUGAUAAUACAGCUAUAAUGACAGACAGACAGACAGACAGACAGACAGACAGACAGACAGACAGACAGACAGACAGACAGACAGUGGUAUAUAUGAUAAUACAGGUAUAAUGACAGACAGACAGACAGACAGACAGACAGACAGGCAGACAGUGGUAUAUCUGAUAAUACAGGUAUAAUGACAGACAGGCAGUGGUAUAUCUUAUAAUACAGGUAUAAUGACAGACAGACAGACAGUGGUAUAUAUGAUAAUAAAGGUAUAAUGACAGACAGACAGACAGUGGUAUAUCUGAUAAUACAGGUAUAAUGACAGACAGGCAGUGGUAUAUCUUAUAAUACAGGUAUAAUGACAGACAGACAGACAGUGGUAUAUAUGAUAAUAAAGGUAUAAUGACAGACAGACAGACAGACAGUGGUAUAUAUGAUAAUACAGGUAUAAUGACAGACAGUGGUAUAUCUGAUAAUAAAGGUAUUAUGACAGACAGACAGACAGUGGUAUAUAUGAUAAUACAGGUAUAAUGACAGACAGACAGCCAGACAGUGGUAUAUCUGAUAAUACAGGUAUAAUGACAGACAGGCAGUGGUAUAUCUUAUAAUACAGGUAUAAUGACAGACAGACAGACAGUGGUAUAUAUGAUAAUAAAGGUAUAAUGACAGACAGACAGACAGUGGUAUAUCUGAUAAUACAGGUAAAAUGACAGACAGACAGUGGUAUAUCUGAUAAUAAAGGUAUAAUGACAGACAGACAGUUAGUGUUAUAUCUGAUACUACAGGUAUAAUGACAGACAGGCAGUGGUAUAUCUUAUAAUACAGGUAUAAUGACAGACAGACAGACAGUGGUAUAUAUGAUAAUACAGGUAUAAUGACAGACAGGCAGUGGUAUAUCUUAUAAUACAGGUAUAAUGACAGACAGACAGACAGUGGUAUAUAUGAUAAUAAAGGUAUAAUGACAGACAGACAGACAGUGGUAUAUCUGAUAAUACAGGUAAAAUGACAGACAGACAGUGGUAUAUCUGAUAAUAAAGGUAUAAUGACAGACAGACAGUUAGUGUUAUAUCUGAUACUACAGGUAUAAUGACAGACAGUUAGUGGUAUAUCUGAUAAUACGGGUAUAAUGACAAACAGACAGACAGUGGUAUAUCUGAUAAUACAGGUAUAAUGACAGACAGACAGACAGACAGACAGACAGACAGACAGACAGACAGACAGUGGUAUAUCUGAUAAUACAGGUAUAAUGACAGACAGGCAGUGGUAUAUCUUAUAAUACAGGUAUAAUGACAGACAGACAGACAGUGGUAUAUCUGAUAAUACAGCUAUAAUGACAGACAGACAGUGGUAUAUCCGAUAAUACAGGUAUAAUGACAGACAGACAGACAGACAGACAGUGGUAUAUCUGAUAAUACAGGUAUAAUGACAGACAGACAGACAGACAGUGGUAUAUAUGAUAAUAAAGGUAUAGUGACAGACAGACAGUUAGUGUUAUAUCUGAUAAUACAGGUAUAAUGACAGACAGACAGUGGUAUAUCUGAUAAUACAGGUAUAAUGACAGACAGACAGACAGUGGUAUAUCUGAUAAUACAGGUAUAAUGACAGACAGACAGACAGUGGUAUAUAUGAUAAUAAAGGUAUAAUGACAGACAGACAGUUAGUGUUAUAUCUGAUAAUACAGGUAUAAUGACAGACAGACAGUGGUAUAUCUGAUAAUACAGGUAUAAUGACAGACAGACAGACAGACAGUGGUAUAUCUGAUAAUACAGGUAUAAUGACAGACAGAGACAGUGGUAUAUAUGAUAAUAAAGGUAUAAUGACAGACAUGCAGUUAGUGUUAUAUCUGAUAAUACAGGUAUAAUGACAGACAGACAGUGGUAUAUCUGAUAAUACAGGUAUAAUGACAGACAGACAGACAGUGGUAUAUAUGAUAAUAAAGGUAUAAUGACAGACAGACAGUUAGUGUUAUAUCUGAUAAUACAGGUAUAAUGACAGACAGACAGUGGUAUAUCUGAUAAUACAGGUAUAAUGACAGACAGACAGUGGUAUAUCUGAUAAUACAGGUAAAAUGACAGACAGACAGACAGACAGUGGUAUAUCUGAUAAUAAAGGUAUAAUGACAGACAGACAGACAGUGGUAUAUCUGAUAAUACAGGUAUAAUGACAGACAGGCAGUGGUAUAUCUGAUAAUACAGGUAUAAUGACAAACAGACAGUUAGUGGUAUAUCUGAUAAUACAGGUAAAAUGGCAGACAGACAGACAGUGGUAUAUCUGAUAAUAAAGGUAUAAUGACAGACAGACAGUGGUAUAUAUGAUAAUAAAGGUAUAAUGACAGACAGAAAGUUAGUGUUAUAUCUGAUAAUACAGGUAUAAUGACAGACAGACAGUGGUAUAUCUGAUAAUACAGGUAUAAUGACAGACAGACAGUGGUAUAUCUGAUAAUACAGGUAUAAUGACAGACAGACAGUGGUAUAUCUGAUAAUAAAGGUAUAAUGACAGACAGACAGACAGUGGUAUAUCUGAUAAUACAGGUAAAAUGGCAGACAGACAGACAGUGGUAUAUCUGAUAAUAAAGGUAUAAUGACAGACAGACAGUGGUAUAUCUGAUAAUACAGGUAUAAUGACAGACAGAC
Molecule: long non-coding RNA, 3411 nt
Organism: Oncorhynchus keta (chum salmon)
Lineage: Eukaryota; Metazoa; Chordata; Actinopteri; Salmoniformes; Salmonidae
Exons: 9
Source: RefSeq, a predicted model, not a curated record